AUCCUUAUUGACAAUGGUGGUCAUUGGAGGUAUAAAUACUGAGGAAUAUGUCAUUUACAGAGAAGAUGUUUGAAAUCUGUUUCCUUUAGACAGCAAAGCUUUGGUUGCAGUCCGAGUCUGAGGAAAAGUCAUCUUCUUCUUGAAGAAAGCGUCCAUAGUGGAAGCCGGUCAGGCCCUGAGUCCUCUCACCGUCAAUUCUGACGGCUGCGUUUGGCCUGCUCGGAAAAAACAAGAGUUGAGAAGACGCAAGAAUUGCCAGUUCUGGUGAAAUAAUAUACUGAAGUCCGCCUAUGAAAACGGGGGAAGGAGAAGGUAUUUUCAAUCGUAUGCUGUUCUGAAAUAAAAUGAAUGAACCAACUGAUACUGUAUUUCCCCAAGCACGUUAAACUGGAAGAAGAGGUGUUUUCACAACAAAACAGACAAAGAAUCAUAAAGACUUGA
RNAcentral lists this long non-coding RNA (441 nucleotides) under Apteryx owenii (little spotted kiwi). Its description in RNAcentral is "lncRNA (ENSAOWG00000012935.1)". The record is from RNAcentral. Lineage: Eukaryota; Metazoa; Chordata; Aves; Apterygiformes; Apterygidae.